Molecule: long non-coding RNA, 589 nt
Filed under: Homo sapiens (human)
Lineage: Eukaryota; Metazoa; Chordata; Mammalia; Primates; Hominidae
Description: HSALNT0308473
Source: RNAcentral
GAUUUAACCCAGCCGCAGGAGAGCUCCUAUGGGGGCACGUCCAGAAAAGCCCCAAAGGGGGAUUGGAGGAAAGCACGUGGAUCUACACUCUUUCCAGCACCGGCAAAGGUAGAAACACAGUAUCACCUGAAAGUGUCAAAUGGGGAAACCGAGGCUCAGAAAAACCAAGUGGAUCCUCUCAAAAACACAGAACAAAUAUUCAGGGAAGUGGCGACUAAAUCUCAAGUCUGUGUCACGAGCUGGUGUUCCUGAGACCACAGGGCCCCGUGCAGAUGGCAUUAGUUAAAAGCAGCACAUUGGAGGAAGCACUAGAGAUCCGGAGCCCACACGGUUCCCUGCAGUCUACUUCAUAAAGAGACUUCACGUCUUGGCGAGGAUCUUGGACUGUCUCUGAUUUCUUUCACUUGUUUUAUAAAACCAGUAAAGUCAAGUCAUUGAAACAUUUUACUGGCAGUUCUGGGUGUAUUCUAAUUGUCCUGUAGUGGGAAUUCCCGUUAUUGCCAGAGAGAAAGCAACCACUCCAAUUCCUUGAGGACUACUUAGAGGGUAGAUUUACGGGGAGGAAACAGGAAUGGGGUUGAGGCAUAAC